UCGGACGGCAGCACAGAGAAGCUUGCUUCUUGGGUGGCGAGUGGCGAACGGGUGAGUAACAUAUCGGAACGUACCGAGCAGUGGGGGAUAACUAAUCGAAAGAUUAGCUAAUACCGCAUAUUCUCUGAGGAGGAAAGCAGGGGACCUUUGGGCCUUGCGUUAUUCGAGCGGCCGAUAUCUGAUUAGCUAGUUGGUGGGGUAAAGGCCUACCAAGGCGACGAUCAGUAGCGGGUCUGAGAGGAUGAUCCGCCACACUGGGACUGAGACACGGCCCAGACUCCUACGGGAGGUAGCAGUGGGGAAUUUUGGACAAUGGGCGCAAGCCUGAUCCAGCCAUGCCGCGUGUCUGAAGAAGGCCUUCGGGUUGUAAAGGACUUUUGUCAGGGAAGAAAAGGAUAGGGUUAAUACCCCUGUCUGAUGACGGUACCUGAAGAAUAAGCACCGGCUAACUACGUGCCAGCAGCCGCGGUAAUACGUAGGGUGCGAGCGUUAAUCGGAAUUACUGGGCGUAAAGCGAGCGCAGACGGUUACUUAAGCAGGAUGUGAAAUCCCCGGGCUCAACCUGGGAACUGCGUUCUGAACUGGGUGACUAGAGUGUGUCAGAGGGAGGUAGAAUUCCACGUGUAGCAGUGAAAUGCGUAGAGAUGUGGAGGAAUACCGAUGGCGAAGGCAGCCUCCUGGGAUAACACUGACGUUCAUGCUCGAAAGCGUGGGUAGCAAACAGGAUU
This 728-nucleotide ribosomal RNA is filed under the name uncultured Neisseria sp. RNAcentral describes it as "bacterial SSU rRNA". It matches the Rfam family "Bacterial small subunit ribosomal RNA", at positions 62 to 779 of the family's 1533-position model. Lineage: Bacteria; Pseudomonadati; Pseudomonadota; Betaproteobacteria; Neisseriales; Neisseriaceae. The record is from RNAcentral.